Molecule: ribosomal RNA, 571 nt
Filed under: uncultured Entrophospora
Lineage: Eukaryota; Fungi; Glomeromycota; Glomeromycetes; Entrophosporales; Entrophosporaceae
Description: SSU rRNA
Rfam family: Eukaryotic small subunit ribosomal RNA
Source: RNAcentral
UUGGAGGGCAAGUCUGGUGCCAGCAGCCGCGGUAAUUCCAGCUCCAAUAGCGUAUAUUAAAGUUGUUGCAGUUAAAAAGCUCGUAGUUGAAUUUCGGGAUUGACGUGAUGGUCGUACCUUAAGGGGUAUGAACUGUCGCUGUUGAUUUCUCACCUUCUGGAGAAACUUGAUGUCCUUAAUUGGGUGUCUUGCGGAUCCAGGACCUUUACCUUGAAAAAAUUAGAGUGUUUAAAGCAGGCAUUUUGCUCGAAUACAUUAGCAUGGAAUAAUAGAAUAGGACGGCAUGGUUCUAUUUUGUUGGUUUCUAGGAUCACCGUAAUGAUUAAUAGGGAUAGUUGGGGGCAUUAGUAUUCAAUUGUCAGAGGUGAAAUUCUUGGAUUUAUUGAAGACUAACUACUGCGAAAGCAUUUGCCAAGGAUGUUUUCAUUAAUCGAGAACGAAAGUUAGGGGAUCGAAGACGAUCAGAUACCGUCGUAGUCUUAACCAUAAACUAUGCCGACUAGGAAUCAGACGAUGUUAAUUUUUUAAUGACUCGUUUGGCACCUUACGGGAAACCAAAGUGUUUGGGUUC